RNAcentral lists this signal recognition particle RNA (299 nucleotides) under Ovis aries (sheep). Its description in RNAcentral is "Metazoan signal recognition particle RNA (ENSOARG00000023941.1)". It matches the Rfam family "Metazoan signal recognition particle RNA". Rfam says of the family: The signal recognition particle (SRP) is a universally conserved ribonucleoprotein. It is involved in the co-translational targeting of proteins to membranes. The record is from RNAcentral. Lineage: Eukaryota; Metazoa; Chordata; Mammalia; Artiodactyla; Bovidae.
GCCGGGCGUGGUGGCGCGCGCCUGUAGUCCCAGCUACUCGGGAGGCUGAGGCUGGAGGAUCGCUUGAGCUCAGGAGUUCUGGGCUGCAGUGCGCUAUGCCGAUCGGGUGUCCGCACUAAGUUCGGCAUCAAUAUGGUGACCUCCCGGGAGCGGGGGACCACCAGGUUGCCUAAGGAGGGGUGAACCGGCCCAGGUCGGAAACGGAGCAGGUCAAAACUCCCGUGCUGAUCAGUAGUGGGAUCGCGCCUGUGAAUAGCCACUGUACUCCAGCCUGGGCAACAUAGCGAGACCCCGUCUCU